CAGCAGCAGCCACGGGAACACGUAGGGUGCAAGCGUUAAUCGGAAUUACUGGGCGUAAAGCGUGCGCAGGCGGUUAUAUAAGACAGAUGUGAAAUCCCCGGGCUCAACCUGGGAACUGCAUUUGUGACUGUAUAGCUAGAGUACGGCAGAGGGGGAUGGAAUUCCGCGUGUAGCAGUGAAAUGCGUAGAUAUGCGGAGGAACACCGAUGGCGAAGGCAAUCCCCUGGGCCUGUACUGACGCUCAUGCACGAAAGCGUGGGGAGCAAACAGGAUUAGAUACCCCAGUAGUCCCUGUCUCUUAUAC
Molecule: ribosomal RNA, 304 nt
Filed under: uncultured bacterium
Lineage: Bacteria
Description: partial 16S ribosomal RNA
Rfam family: Bacterial small subunit ribosomal RNA
Source: RNAcentral